RNAcentral lists this non-coding RNA (26 nucleotides) under Mus musculus (house mouse). Lineage: Eukaryota; Metazoa; Chordata; Mammalia; Rodentia; Muridae. The record is from RNAcentral.
UGAUAGAGAAGUAGUCAGUGACAGAU